GGACAUAGCUCUAUGGUGGAGCACUUGCCUAUCGUGCACAAGGCCCUGGGUUCAAUCCCCAGCAUUGUACA
Molecule: transfer RNA, 71 nt
Filed under: Marmota monax (woodchuck)
Lineage: Eukaryota; Metazoa; Chordata; Mammalia; Rodentia; Sciuridae
Description: tRNA.Asp
Source: RNAcentral